UACGUAGGUGGCAAGCGUUGUCCGGAUUUACUGGGCGUAAAGAGCGCGCAGGCGGUCGUACAAGUCGCGUGUGAAAGCCCCCGGCUCAACUGGGGAGGGUCACGCGAUACUGUUCGACUCGAAGGCAGGAGAGGGAAGCAGAAUUCCCGGUGUAGUGGUGAAAUGCGUAGAUACCGGGAGGAAUACCAGUGGCGAAGGCGGCUUCCUGGCCUGUUCUUGACGCUGAGGCGCGAAAGCUAGGGUAGCAAACGGG
Molecule: ribosomal RNA, 253 nt
Filed under: uncultured bacterium
Lineage: Bacteria
Description: partial 16S ribosomal RNA
Rfam family: Bacterial small subunit ribosomal RNA
Source: RNAcentral